CCGAAGUCAUAGAGUUUGAGACUGCGUCUUCAAUGGCGUGUGCUCGCUCUUACCCUUCUUAUCCACACCUCUGUGCACCAUGGGACGAAAUUAAAGUCCCCUUUUAUUAAUACCUAGUUAUAUGUAUGUCAUUAUAUACUCUAAGGAGUUAAUA
Molecule: unclassified non-coding RNA, 154 nt
Filed under: uncultured Geastrum
Lineage: Eukaryota; Fungi; Basidiomycota; Agaricomycetes; Geastrales; Geastraceae
Description: sequence contains ITS1
Source: RNAcentral